This 308-nucleotide ribosomal RNA is filed under the name uncultured bacterium. RNAcentral describes it as "partial 16S ribosomal RNA". It matches the Rfam family "Bacterial small subunit ribosomal RNA", at positions 505 to 809 of the family's 1533-position model. The record is from RNAcentral.
GAGACAGCAGUCGCCGCGGUAAUACGUAGGUGGCAAGCGUUGUCCGGAAUUAUUGGGCGUAAAGCGCGCGCAGGCGGAUAGGUCAGUCUGUCUUAAAAGUUCGGGGCUUAACCCCGUGAUGGGAUGGAAACUGCUGAUCUAGAGUAUCGGAGAGGAAAGUGGAAUUCCUAGUGUAGCGGUGAAAUGCGUAGAUAUUAGGAAGAACACCAGUGGCGAAGGCGACUUUCUGGACGAAAACUGACGCUGAGGCGCGAAAGCCAGGGGAGCGAACGGGAUUAGAUACCCCUGUAGUCCCUGUCUCUUAUACA